RNAcentral lists this long non-coding RNA (5968 nucleotides) under Sus scrofa (pig). RNAcentral describes it as "lncRNA (ENSSSCG00015027228.1)". Lineage: Eukaryota; Metazoa; Chordata; Mammalia; Artiodactyla; Suidae. The record is from RNAcentral.
UUUUUUUUUUUUUUUUCUUCACUUUUUGGCCAUACCUGCUAAAAGUUCCUGGGCCAGGGAUGGAACCCGUGGCCAAGCAGCAACACAAACUGCUGCAGGGACAACGACAGAUCCUUAACCCGCUGCACCAUAAGAGGACACUGAGGGUUUUUCUUUAUGUAAUAAAACAGAUAAUGAAUGCUUAUUGAACAGCAGGGUCGGAUAUUAACUUUUAGCCUCUGGAGAAAUAGAUGAUCCACACGUACUGAAAUCCUUGGGUAAAGGAUUAAUGGAGAAUGAGAGAGAACAUGCUAUCUAUCAGCUCAUAUAUUGUUUUGUGAUGGGCAAGGUUUGACAGGGAUCUGGAUGUCCAUGUGUUGACCAGAUGAUUACUCAUGGCAACAUUAUGGUGGGAGGACCAGCCGUUUGGACGCCUUUUGAUUUGAAAUCUUACAAAUGCACAGCAUCGCCUGUGACGUAUGAGUGUCAAACAUAUUUAAACAUUAUUAUUUCAACAGCCACAUGCCAACGGGACUACUUUUUUCAACAAUUCAACAUUACAGAAUAAGUGGAGAGAGAUUUAAGAGUCCAGCAGUAAAAUGUAAUUUAUAAUUCUUGCUUGUAUCUUGUUUUAAACAAAAACAUGUACAAAAUAUACUUUAGAAAAAAUAGCAGAUAUUCAAAUAUGGGCUAUGAAUUAGACGGGACUAGGACAUUAGUGUUAAAAUGUCAUCAUGAAACUACACUUCAUUUUUUAGAAGUGUAUAACUGAAAUAUUUGAGGGUGAAAUAUCAAGAUGUCUGUGAUUGUAUUUAAAAUUAUUUAGAAAAAAUCAAUGAAGCAUAGCUAGCUAACAUUUGCUGCCACUAGUAUGAAAUAUUAUUUUUAAUAUUUUCUUCAUAUUUUCCCUUUACUGUAUGUUUGAGGAUUUUCCUAAUAAAAAAAUAAAGGAAUCUUCAAUGAACAUCUAAAAUAAUUAACUACCUCUUAUUGGCAUAAUGAAAAGAAGGAAAGGAGGAAAGGGAAGAUGGAUCACAAGUUUAAGGAAAACUUCGCAUUGUUUUAUAACGCUUAACAUUUUUUUCAUAAGCCUUUGGUCCAUAAGUCUUGUGUUUGUUUGUUUGUUUAUUUUGUCUUUUUGUCUUUUGGGGCCGCUCUGGCAGCAUAUGGAGGUUCCCAGGCUAGGGGAUGAAUUGAAGCUAUAGCUGCCGGCCUAUGCCAGAACGACAGCAAGCUGUGAUCUGAGCUGUGUCUGCGAACUACACAACAGCUCACAGCAACGCCAGAUCCUUAACCCACUGAGCGAGGCCAUCCUCAUGGAUGAUAGUGGGUUUGUUAACCACUGAGCCACAAUGGGAACUCCUAGACCAUAAGUUUUAUUUAAGCAUAUUUUCCAUUAGUAUCUCCCUAUCACCAUAUUUCUGCUUUGUGCCUGAGCUUUGGCUCUGCUCAAUCUGGUUAUAUCUUUUCCGUACCACAUGUUAUUUUUGAGAACUUCCAGUUUCAAUUUCUUGACUUAAUAUUUCAAUGCCCAAAUUCUUUAUUAAUGCCUCAUAAAUGGACACUACCCUUGCUUGCUUCUGUCUGAAUAUAGAAACUAAUCCAUUUCAUGUAAGGAGAACAACAGAGAGUGGUAUCUUAUGCCAACCCAAUUUACAGUAUAACUUGCAAACUCAAUUGCAAUCUGUGUUUCUAAAGUAUAGGCUUCUGCCUAAUAAUAUGGUUUUACAAUCGAAGAAAAUUGAUCUCACUGUUCUGCAUAAAUUGCCAAAAGUAGAGUCUAGGGGUAAUCACACUAGCUGGUACCAUUUGUAAAGACUCAGUAUAUUAUCCAAGCUAUGCUAAAUGUGUGAGAUAAAUUAUGCCCACUUCACAGAUGCAUAAACUGAGAAUCAUAAGUCAACCAACUUGCCUAAGGUCAAUUUUCUAAAAGAUACCUGAGUUAGAUUUUUUAUUUCAGCUCUCUGUCUCUAAAAGUAAUGCACUUUUCUUGACGUAAAAGAUUCUAUUUUCAGUUAAGAAAAUAUUCAGUUUGCAUAACUAAAAGUAACAUUAUUUACCAUUAGAAUGAUGGUUGCAGUAUGAUUUCCAAGACAUAGAUGAACCCAUUAUGCUAUAUAGCAUUUUACUUUGUUUUCUGUUACAACUGCAAGUUGAGAAUAGUAACAUCCUCAGGCGAUUGCAGGCCUUUGUCAGCAAGUUUCCAGAGGACUGCACACCAGGGUUAUGAAGGGAUCCUCUAUGAUUAAUGUCACAGAGACCCAUAGCAACCUCAGUCAGAGAUGUGCCUGCAUUGAUCACUAUGGACAUGUCCUGGGUUUAUACUCAGGUGCUCUAGGAAACUUUUGUCAAUACCCUUGGCAUCCUUUAGAAUGUUCUUGCACUUUGAUUUGUAUGUUGACAUUAAUUGACAGCACGACUCAAACAUGUUAUAAAUUACCAUAUGACCCAGCAAUCCCACUCUUGGACGUAUAUCCAGACAAAACUUUCCUUGAAGAAGACACAUGCACCUACAUGUUCAUUGCAGCAUUAUUCCCAAUAUCCAAGACAUGAAAACAACUCAAAUGUCCAUCAACAGAUUAUUGGAUUAAGAAGAUAUGAUAUAUAUACACAAUGGAAUACUACUCAGCCAUAAAAAAAAAACAAAAUAAUGCCAUUUGCAGCAACAUGGAUGGAACUAGAGACUCUUAUACUAAGUGAAGUCAGAAAGAGAAAGACAAAUACCAUAUGAUAUCACUUGACUCUGGAAUCUAACAUAUGGCACAAAUGAACCUUUCCACAGAAAAGAAAAUCAUUGACAUGGAGUACAGACUUGUGGUUGCCAAGGAAGAGGGGGAGGGAUUGGGAUGGAUUGGGAAUUUGGGGUUAAUAGAUGCAAACUAUUGCCUUUUUAAUGGAUAAGCAAUGAGAUCCUGCUGUGUAGCACAGUGAACUAUGUCUAGUCACUUAUGAUGGAGCAUGAUAAUAUAAGAAAAAAGAAUGUAUACAUGUAUGUGUAACUGGGUUACCAUGCUGUACAGUAGAAAAUUGACAGAACACUGUUAACCAGCUAUAAUGGAAAAAAAUUAAAUCAUUAUAAAAAUAUCUUGAGUAUUAAAUUCUAAAGUGCUUCUCACUGUCUCUUAUUUCUUUUUCCUAUCUGUAUGAGCCAGAUUGCUAAUGGUAGAGUCAGAAAAGUUUCAUUAAUAUCAAUGAGAGUUUCUUUUGUUUGUUCCAUCUCUAUAUCUUUCAUUUAUGAUGCUGCUUUUCAAGAAAAGUCUAUGUAUUUUUGUAUGCUAGAAAUUACCAAAACAUUUGGCAAAGAUUUUCGUGAAAGAUGCAUAAUUUUGUGACUACUCAUAUGAGCAAAUUGCUAAGACCAUACAGCAAGUUUUGUACUUUGACCCAAGUGGAAGUUGCCUCCUAUGGAUUUAAUAUUACACACUGACUAGAGAUUAUAACUAUAUGGGUAUCUGGCUUUUCAAUUUGAUUUUAUGAUAUUGUUUCUGAAUCCUGAAUACACAUUUCUGGUUAAUAGUUUUGUACCUUAUAUCUUAUAGACAUUAACCAGGAUUUGUACAAUUCCUUUUUGGUAUUUUAAAUAUUUUUUUCUGAUCUAUUCCUUCUUUUGUGAUACUAACAUCUAUAACCUUCAAUUCAUUUGACUUAUAUAAAAUACCAUAAUGACAAAUUUUCAACAUUUUAUCUAUGUUUCUCACCCAAAUCUAGGCUUUGAUUCUACUAGAAAGUAAGAUUUCCCUGGACACAUUGAGACCUACUGCAAAUUAACACCACAGUUUCUAAAUAAACAGUUUCACUGCUAUUUACUAUGGUUCUGUUUCACCCUAGUAAAUGUAUACACAAGUGCUUUAUCAACACCGCAAACUGAUCCUUGCUUGCAUUAUGGCGUGCUCUAGAAACAGCAAAGCAUUCCUUAUUUUGUCAAGGAAAUCCGAGUAAAUUAUUUUUGUUUUAUUUUACUGUAUUAAUUUAAAAUGGAAGUAAAAUCCUUUCUACAUAGUCAUUUUUGAAUCAUAGACUUGAGUUAUCAUAGACUUGUGUUAUCUUUUAAGUAGGGAAAACGUAGGCAAUCAUCAUCUUACUCAUAAUGUCCUUUUCAAAUUCUUUCAAGAUUUUGAUGGGUACAAUAUUAACUAGUAUUUUUUUUAUUUUAACGAUAGAUAAGUAUGGAGAUAUAAAGUGAAAUUUGAUUGUCAGAAUUCAAGUCACAAAUUGUAGUUUUCAUUUCAUCAAAACAGAACAAUACCUACCCAGCAUGGUCAUUCUAUAUAAAACCACAAAUUAGAUACUGAAAUAUAAAGAACAACUUUCAAAAUUUAUCACUGAAAUGACUAAAAAGGAAAAACUGUAAUGAGGAAUUAUAAUGGGGGAAACAGUAAGAGAAAAAUAAAGAUGGCACAUGUUUAAAAUUGUAAUUGAUUAGGAAGAUACAUCAGUUCUAAAUGUGUAUAUACAGAUUAACGAAGUUUGAAAACAGAGCUGAAACACAAAUACAAAAAUAACAUACAAAAAUGUUAUGUGAAAAGAGUUUGAUAAACUCUUUUAGCAAUUGGUUGAAUAGAAAGCCAAAUUUUAAAAAUAUAUAAGUAGGUUAACAAAAAUAUAGCAAAUCAAAUUGAAAAUAUUACCAACUUGAUAUACUUCCAGUUUAUAGAAAAUUGUAUACUACUUAUUUUAGAGCGCAAUAUUCUAUACACUUUUUCAGUAGAUGAAACAUGAAAUUUAUAAUAAAUGGUCAAAUAUUAGGCCACAUAUUCCAUUAGGAAUACGCUAAUACAGAGCCUAUUAUUUAACCAUAAUCUAACUAAAUUAGAAAAACCUUAAUUUUGGCAUUAAAGUAAACAGGAAAAUUUGACCUCUAAUAAUAGGUGAUAACCCAGGUGAUAGUAGGAUGUUGCAGGAAAAAAAAAGAAAAAAAGCACUGUAUUAGGUUACUAUUGCUGCUGUAACAAACUGCAUUAACAUAGUGGCUUAAACAACACAAAAUUAUUAUCUCAGUUCUGGAAGUCAGAAAUCUGAUAUAGGCUUUGCUGGGAUCAAAUCAAGAUACAAGAAAGGCUACAUUUCUUAUGGAGGAUUUUGGAGAGAACAUUUUGCCUGGACAUUUCCAGUAACUAGUGACAACUUGGUUUCUUUGAUUUGUGGCUCGUUUCUUCAUCUUCAAAGCCAGAAAUAGAUCAUGUUCAAAUUUCUGAGUUUCUGUUUGUGUUUUUCACUGUAGCACCUUUAUGAUUACAUUGGGUCAAUCCAGAUUACAAAAUAAUAUUCAUAUAUCAAUGACUUUAACCAUACUUAUGAAGUAUCUUUGUCACAUAAGAUAAUAUAUUCGCAGGUAUCAGAAAUUAAUAUGUGGGCAUCUUCUGCCCACCACAAGCUGUAUUAAGGGGAACAAUAGACUAAAAUAUGUCUACAUUAGAACGUAAUAAAGCUCAAAACUAGUGAACUGAAAUGCAAGCUAGUAAAUCUUAGCAAGAACCCCAGAAUAAACCUAAAAAUUAAAGGAGUUCAGUCCUAGUUAAAAAGUAUGAAAUAAAGUUUGGAACAUAGAAAGAUAGCAAACAAAGCUCAGCAAAGACAAAUAUUUCUUGGAACAAAUUAAUAAAAUAAUCCUCUGGUAAGGUUAAUCAAAAAAAUACAGAUUUUUUUUUAAAAAAGAAAGGUACUAUAGUUGUAGCAGCUUAUGCUAAUGAAUAAUCUUAUACAAUUAAGUUUGAAAUUUUAGAAGCAAGAUGUAUGUUACUCAAAAAAUAUAGCUGAACAAAAGCGACUUGAGACAAUUAUAAAUAUGAAUUGUCCUGUAGGUGGUAAAUAAACAGAAUCAAUGGUAAAGCCCCUCUUCCACUCUCACAAAGAUAAAAUAAAAUGCUUAUUCAAUCAUUUCAAUUACAUUUCACCAAAUAUUCAAAGUUUAAAUAAUUUAAGUCUACACAACAUUUUUAUAGAAAAGUAGUCAUUUAUCUAUUUAUCUUCUAGUUAUCGUCUGUGAGCU